Molecule: microRNA precursor, 64 nt
Filed under: Podarcis lilfordi (Lilford's wall lizard)
Lineage: Eukaryota; Metazoa; Chordata; Lepidosauria; Squamata; Lacertidae
Source: RNAcentral
UAUAUGUGUGUGUGUGUGUGUGUGUGUGUGUAUACAUACACACACACACACACGCAUACAUACU